This 309-nucleotide long non-coding RNA is filed under the name Trifolium pratense (red clover). Its description in RNAcentral is "long non-coding RNA (TPRA_LNC004377)". The record is from RNAcentral. Lineage: Eukaryota; Viridiplantae; Streptophyta; Magnoliopsida; Fabales; Fabaceae.
AAUAACAAAAUGAUAUUCAUUCAUUCAAAUUGAUAGAUUACAUCAAAUACAACCACAUAAUCAACAUCGCUAAAAACAUAAAGGAUGAAUCUGCGAACAAAACUCACAGCAUCCGAGUUAAUAGUAUACAACGGCAAAAUGCCUACAACAAAUAAUAUGAUAAAGUUAAAGUCACCGAAGUAUCCAUGCCUCCAGAUCUGCAGCGUUGAAGCCCAAAUCAUUGGUUGAAUCUGUAAUUGACUGAAGCCGAUCUUUUCAAUAGAAAUCAAAUGAACACCGCAACAAUACGGGACAACAAAAACGUCGCNN